Molecule: long non-coding RNA, 2411 nt
Organism: Mus musculus (house mouse)
Lineage: Eukaryota; Metazoa; Chordata; Mammalia; Rodentia; Muridae
Product: RIKEN cDNA A930033C23 gene
Exons: 3
Source: RefSeq, a predicted model, not a curated record
UGCGAGGCUCCUGCCCAUUUGGGGGAAAUGGAUUUUAGAAAUUUCAGAAAGAAAACUCAAUCCAAAUCUAGAUGUAAAGGCGCUGUGGUUGUCAAGCUUCGAGAGCCAUUUAUGUCGUGUAGGAACAGUGACCUCGGUGGGGUGAAGCCAACAUCAGGUGGGUACAGUGACCUCAAGGGGCGAAGCCAAGAGUGAGGUUCUAAAGAAACAGAUGAAAGAGAGUUCUGACACUGGAUGAGGGAUGGCAGAGCUCCUGGGGAAGUGACAGUGGCUCCUCAGCUGGACAUUUUGGAACCUUAGAUUCCCUCAGACAGUGGCUUCUACUCCUCCAUGUUUGGGCAGAGAGUUGGAUACUAAGAUACCCAAACCUAUGCAGAGCCCACUCUGAGCGCAAGACCCUAGGCUUAGGGGCACAAUGCUCUCCCAACUAGUCCUAUGUUGCUACGAGGGACAUCGAAUCCCACAGUAAAGGCAAGGCUCAGGCCCUGGAUCAGAGCCUGGGCACAUGGCUCCACCAGGUAGGUCCCAUGAUAUUAAGGUGGGUGAAUAGAGGCCCCAGAAAAGAAUGAGCUUCUUCAAGAUUUGAACAGCGUCCCCAUUCCAUUCUCUCUGUCCCCCAAAAGCCCUUCUUCUUGCUGGCCCAAAGUAUUGUUCCCUUCUAGAAAAAAGAGGAGGGGUGUGGGCUGCGACAUAUCUUGGGGCCACAAUGGACUUGUACAUACAAUGACCAGCCCUAAGGGCACGUGGCAUCAUUCUGCUUGCUUGCUUAUCAUUGUUUGCUGUCUGAACGGCCUGGAGGUCUGAGGAAGUCCUACUAGGCUCCGGGUGAGUUCUAGCUUCUGUCUCCAAGCUUUUAAAAAGGAAACGAAUGAAUUCCAGUGUAGGGCCCUCAGAUCUACUCCCUGGUGUAGAGAACUCUCUGGAAGGAGUUGAGAGACAGUGGGCUCUCCCACUUCUGGCCCCCUCAUUUGCCCAGUUGAAAAGAAAUCCCAACAUUGCUUCCGUCUCCCAGAUCACGGGAUGCGUGAGCCUUGGAGUCAGACUGGGACUGAUUAUUUUUCGAACACACAACUAGGAUAGCACCCCUGUCUUUUGUGGGGGCACUGUGCAGCUGCGAGGCUCGGCGCUCGCAGUCUUAAGAUGGGAGUAUCGGGCCCCAUCCCAGCCACGGGGAUCCAGGAAAGACACAGAGCAUAGUGAGCUUCCCCCUGCCCCCUGUGUGCUAGGGAAGGUCUGUGCCCAGGGACCAGGCUGAGCUCCUCCCAUCAGGUGGGUCCAUCUUCUGUUCUCGGCCAAGGCGAGCGUUGCCUGGACUCCACCAGCACCCGCGUUCAUGUACCUCCGCCUCAUUCCCGAUGCCUUCCGGACCUCGGCGUCCCCACCUCCGUUACAUGCCCUCGGCUCGGAAAGGAACCUUUACUAUGUGACUGGGCACCUAGCCCGCGUAAGGACACGCAGGAUGAGGUGGAUAGGAGACGAGAGGUGAGGACGGAGGGGAGGGUCUGCAGACCGCAGCAGACUGCGAGACGCCAGGGCCUCGUGGCACCAGCGGAAAGGUGCUGACGCGGGAUAUGCAGCCGCGUCCGCAGCCCGGUGGGUCGAAGCGCGCGGAGUCCGGGACCCAUAGUGGGAGGCAGGACCAAGAAACCAGAGCGCCCGUCGCAGGGAAGGAGUCACUUCCCGCAUGGCAGGACGCGUGAGAAGAAGGAUCACGGCCACUGGGGAGAGUCGAGCGGGAGAAUAACGUCGCUGUGUCCCGGGCGAACCAAGAGAACCAGCAGGCGGAGGGCGGGGAAGGGAGACAUUCCAGGGCGAGCGCAGAACCAUGGCUAGCAGGCGUCUGGAUCCGCAGAGGUGGUGCCCCUGCAAUCCCGGAUCACGCAGAGCCCACGGGUGCUUGGUCUGUUUAGCGGUCUCCAGCCCAGGGCUUCCCGGAGGUCCGGAUGCAGCCCUUCUCCAUCCACCCUUCGCGAGUGUCGCCUGUGGGCCCCGAGCCUCCUUCCCGCAUUCUGCGCCGCAGAUCCCCGGUGCUCCAGAAACAGAAGACCUAGAUCCCAGACCAGAAAGGCGGCCGCAGGGCACUACCCCACACUGUGUUGCAAGGUCGCGACCUUUAAGCCCUUUUGCCCCCUCCAAGGCGCCCGGACCCCGGGUGAGGAGUCCGGUGCGGUCACCGUGACCAGAGUGAGAGGGAUGAAACCCCGGAAAGCGGCGUGGGGAGAAAAGGGGGUUGUUUGAGACCAAAAUAGUUGUAAAGCUAAGUAUGUGAGCUUUAACGGUCAAGUUCUAGCUAAGCCGCGAGGAUGCACAGCUUUUUAAAAGCCGAGUUUUAAGUGAACCCAGGUGAGACUCAGAUUGGGUGAAAAUAAAAUUGGAACGUACUGCAGCUUCUCGGGUGGAAAGUCACCCUU